UACCGAGGGUGCAAGCGUUGUUCGGAAUUACUGGGCGUAAAGCGCGUGUAGGUGGCGAUGUAAGUCGGGUGUGAAAUCCCUUGGCUCAACCAAGGAAGUGCACUCGAUACUGUGUCGCUUGAGUACUGGAGGGGGUGGCGGAAUUCCCGGUGUAGAGGUGAAAUUCGUAGAUAUCGGGAGGAACACCUGUGGCGAAGGCGGCCACCUGGACAGUCACUGACACUGAGACGCGAAAGCGUGGGUAGCAAACAGG
This 253-nucleotide ribosomal RNA is filed under the name uncultured bacterium. RNAcentral's name for it is "partial 16S ribosomal RNA". It matches the Rfam family "Bacterial small subunit ribosomal RNA", at positions 524 to 776 of the family's 1533-position model. The record is from RNAcentral.